RNAcentral lists this ribosomal RNA (443 nucleotides) under uncultured bacterium. RNAcentral describes it as "partial 16S ribosomal RNA". It matches the Rfam family "Bacterial small subunit ribosomal RNA", at positions 338 to 795 of the family's 1533-position model. The record is from RNAcentral.
CCUACGGGUGGCAGCAGUGGGGAAUAUUGGACAAUGGGGGGAACCCUGAUCCAGCGACGCCGCGUGAGUGAAGAAGUAUUUCGGUAUGUAAAGCUCUAUCAGCAGGGAAGAAAGAAAUGACGGUACCUGACUAAGAAGCCCCGGCUAACUACGUGCCAGCAGCCGCGGUAAUACGUAGGGGGCAAGCGUUAUCCGGAUUUACUGGGUGUAAAGGGAGCGUAGACGGCGAUGCAAGUCUGAAGUGAAAGGCGGGGGCCCAACCCCGGGACUGCUCUGGAAACUGCCUGGCUGGAGUACAGGAGAGGUAAGUGGAAUUCCUAGUGUAGCGGUGAAAUGCGUAGAUAUUAGGAGGAACACCAGUGGCGAAGGCGGCUUACUGGACUGUAACUGACGUUGAGGCUCGAAAGCGUGGGGAGCAAACAGGAUUAGAUACCCGAGUAGUC